Molecule: ribosomal RNA, 324 nt
Filed under: uncultured Bacillota bacterium
Lineage: Bacteria; Bacillati; Bacillota
Description: bacterial SSU rRNA
Rfam family: Bacterial small subunit ribosomal RNA
Source: RNAcentral
GAUGAACGCUGGCGGCGUGCUUAACACAUGCAAGUCGAACGAACUAAGAGAGCUUGCUCUCUUGGUUAGUGGCGGACGGGUGAGUAACGCGUGGGUAACCUGCCCUAUGCAGGGGGAUAACGUUUGGAAACGAACGCUAAUACCGCAUAACAUAGAAGAACCGCAUGGUUUUUCUCUCAAAGAUUUAUCGGCAUAGGAUGGACCCGCGUUGGAUUAGCUAGUUGGUGAGAUAACAGCCCACCAAGGCGACGAUCCAUAGCCGGCCUGAGAGGGUGAACGGCCACACUGGGACUGAGACACGGCCCAGACUCCUACGGGAGGCUG